Molecule: ribosomal RNA, 560 nt
Filed under: Candidatus Peregrinibacteria bacterium
Lineage: Bacteria; Candidatus Peregrinibacteriota
Description: partial 23S ribosomal RNA
Rfam family: Bacterial large subunit ribosomal RNA
Source: RNAcentral
UCGUUGAAGUUCCGACCCGCACGAAUGGUAUAACGAUCUGAGCACUGUCUCGACGCGAGGCCCGGUGAAAUUUCAGUGACGGUGCAAAUGCCGUCUUGAUCACGGAAGGACGAAAAGACCCUAUGAAGCUUUACUGUACGCUGGCAUUGUGACGUUAGUUUGCGUGCGCAGGAUAGGUGGGAGCCUUCGAAGCCCUGGCUUUGGCCGGGGUGGAGGCGACGUUGAGAUACCACCCUCGUGUUCUGACGUUACUCACGGUGUCCCUGAAACAGGGCAUCGAACAGUGCUUGCCGGGCAGUUUAACUGGGGCGGUUGCCUCCUAAAGCGUAACGGAGGCGCGCAAUGGUCGACUAGCGCCGGAUGGAAAUCGGCGCGGUCGUGUAAUCGCACAUGUCGGCCUGACUGUGAGGCCUACAAGCCGAGCAGAGACGAAAGUCGGCGAUAGUGAUCCGGUGCCCAUGAACACGCUUUACCGUGUGUUCACACCACGUGGGUGGGGCAUCGCUCAACGGAUAAAAGUUACUCUAGGGAUAACAGGCUGAUCGCAUCCAAGCGCCCAC